This 382-nucleotide ribosomal RNA is filed under the name Alcaligenes parafaecalis. RNAcentral describes it as "bacterial SSU rRNA". It matches the Rfam family "Bacterial small subunit ribosomal RNA", at positions 1008 to 1394 of the family's 1533-position model. The record is from RNAcentral. Lineage: Bacteria; Pseudomonadati; Pseudomonadota; Betaproteobacteria; Burkholderiales; Alcaligenaceae.
UUGGCCGUGCUCGCAAGAGAACCGGAACACAGGUGCUGCAUGGCUGUCGUCAGCUCGUGUCGUGAGAUGUUGGGUUAAGUCCCGCAACGAGCGCAACCCUUGUCAUUAGUUGCUACGCAAGAGCACUCUAAUGAGACUGCCGGUGACAAACCGGAGGAAGGUGGGGAUGACGUCAAGUCCUCAUGGCCCUUAUGGGUAGGGCUUCACACGUCAUACAAUGGUCGGGACAGAGGGUCGCCAACCCGCGAGGGGGAGCCAAUCUCAGAAACCCGAUCGUAGUCCGGAUCGCAGUCUGCAACUCGACUGCGUGAAGUCGGAAUCGCUAGUAAUCGCGGAUCAGAAUGUCGCGGUGAAUACGUUCCCGGGUCUUGUACACACCGCC